Molecule: long non-coding RNA, 231 nt
Filed under: Mytilus galloprovincialis (Mediterranean mussel)
Lineage: Eukaryota; Metazoa; Mollusca; Bivalvia; Mytilida; Mytilidae
Source: RNAcentral
GUUUGUCAUAUUGGAGUCUUCAUAAAACAGUCUUUAGAACUGAGGGAGUCAGACCCGUGUCAGGCAAGGUUAUGAUGGUGUUUUUUACAUACAUUUAUAAUUGAACUCUAAUGUUCUAUUAUUCUAUAUAUUGUAUUGUAUUAUUUUGUAUUUCAUUGUAUUACAUUGUAUUUCACUGUAUUGCAUUGUAUAGUAUAAAAUUAUUGUUUGAUUGUAUUGCUUGACCCUCAU